Molecule: unclassified non-coding RNA, 302 nt
Filed under: uncultured fungus
Lineage: Eukaryota; Fungi
Description: sequence contains ITS1
Rfam family: 5.8S ribosomal RNA (bases 1-105)
Source: RNAcentral
GAAAUGCGAUAAGUAAUGUGAAUUGCAGAAUUCAGUGAAUCAUCGAAUCUUUGAACGCACAUUGCGCCCCUUGGUAUUCCGAGGGGCAUGCCUGUUCGAGCGUCAUUGCAACCCUCAAGCUCAGCUUGGUGUUGGGCACCGCCCCCCCGGGGUGGGCCCGAAAAUCAGUGGCGGUCCAGUGAGACUUCAAGCGUAGUAAAUUAUUCAUCCGCUUUGGAAGCUUCUCCCUGUGUGCCAGCCGGAAAACCCCAUAUUUUUCAAUGGUUGACCUCGGAUCAGGUAGGGAUACCCGCUGAACUUAA